This 275-nucleotide ribosomal RNA is filed under the name uncultured bacterium. RNAcentral describes it as "partial 16S ribosomal RNA". It matches the Rfam family "Bacterial small subunit ribosomal RNA", at positions 523 to 796 of the family's 1533-position model. The record is from RNAcentral.
AUACGUAGGGGCCAAACGUUGUCCGGAUUUAUUGGGCGUAAAGGGCUCGUAGGCGGUUCAACAAGUCGAUCGUGAAAGCCCGGGGCUCAACCCCGGGACGCCGGUCGAAACUGUUGUGACUAGGGUCCGGUAGAGGUGAGUGGAAUUCUCGGUGUAGCGGUGGAAUGCGCAGAUAUCGAGAGGAACACCAGUUGCGAAGGCGGCUCACUGGGCCGGUACCGACGCUAAGGAGCGAAAGCGUGGGGAGCAAACAGGAUUAGAUACCCCGGUAGUCC